GGGCGGCGGAGGACCGAGGCAAGGGUUUGGCGCCGUAGGUAGCAGCUACCGGGACUUUAUGCAUUUUGUAGUCAUUCCUUUUUGGGUAUACAUGUAUCAACUUUACCUUGUUAAUUAGAGAUGCGAAGUGUAAACAAUCAUGUAUUUGGUGGAUGACUAAAUGUAAAAAGAUAUAAUAGAUGAAUGUAAUAGUUUUACUUGAAUUUGGUUUAAAUGUAAUCAAAUAUCAUGUAUAUUGCAUAAUUAGCUUAGAGCUUU
Molecule: long non-coding RNA, 258 nt
Filed under: Ananas comosus (pineapple)
Lineage: Eukaryota; Viridiplantae; Streptophyta; Magnoliopsida; Poales; Bromeliaceae
Description: long non-coding RNA (ACOM_LNC023273)
Source: RNAcentral